Lingula anatina is the source of this 2052-nucleotide unclassified non-coding RNA. The record is from RefSeq and is a predicted model, not a curated record. Lineage: Eukaryota; Metazoa; Brachiopoda; Lingulata; Lingulida; Lingulidae.
UUAAGGUCGAUUACGGACGGCUGGUGAGAAGUGUUUGAAGCCAAUUUUAUUGCCUUCCUCUAGACUUUGUUUAUUUGUAUUUAAAACUCAGCACACCAGAUUGGCACACUCUUGAUACAUCUACUUAUGCAGAGGAAUGUAACUGAAGACAAAUUUAUUCACAUUAAGAAAAAUGAAUGAAGGUGAAAAACCCAGUCAUGUUUGUGCUGUGAUACGAGAAGACCUCAAACAGUGCCUGUUAAGUUGUGAAUGUGUAUCUGUGUAUAAGAACUCUUCCAAAGACUGCUUAAAAGGAACAACAGUUGAUGGGUCUAGGGCACCUAAAGAGUGUUGUGAGAUAGCAAAAGCGCUCUUUAAUUGUAGGCGAUCUCUGAUGGACAACCGUUAUAGGUUCAGGGGACCAAAGGCCUACUGAGCAAAUACAUUUUAAUUUAAUACAGGAUAGUGGAAAAAUGUUUUUAAAGGGACUUCCUCCCCUCCCUCUCCAGGCAGUAUGAAGAUAUGGUCGUUGUUACAAACUGAACAGUGCCAAUGACUUAAUAACAUAUAAGUGUGUAUUAAUGUUCUGGGUUGCAGUUAAAUAGAAAUAAGCAAAUUGAAUUCACGGAUUUCCUGCUGCCAUCUUCUAAACCAACUUCAGUAAAUUUAUUAUUUUCCGCAUUUUUAAAAAUAGACUACAAUGUCAAACAGGAUGGUGACUUUCUCAUGCAAAGAGAUGCAUUGUGUUGUUGCUCCAGCAGUGGGUUGUGACAUCAUAUAAUGAAAUAUUGUACCCAUAUAUAUAUUACUGCGAAUGUUAUGCACAUACUGGAACAGGUAAUUGUACAUACUUAUUAAUUGUGAAAACUGUGCAUUUUGAAUAAACAUAUUGUCGUAUAUAUCAUUUUUAAGACAUUUAUUUUUUUACUUCUCAUAAAUACGUACAUUGUGUGCAUGCUUCUUACAUUGCUCAACGAAAUGGUGAAAUCUUAUUAAUACUUUGAUAAAAAAACUUAAUACGUACAGGAUUUACAUCUACUAAUAUACAAAAUUAUACAAAUGCUGACAAUGAUGAAAAGUCUACAUAAUUCCAAGCACUUUCAUAGCACCACAUAAAAUGACUUUAGGUCAAAUGUUUCACUUUUACUACAAAAGGGAAAAGUAUGACCUAUGGAGGCUAAAUUAAAUAGUAUUGAAAAAAAAAAAAUGAUUGCCACUGCAAGGUGUGAAAAUGAACUUAUUUCCAAAAACUUUGUUUUAUUUUAAAUUAGCUUAAUAUGAACACAUGGCAAACUUUUCAAUUUUACAAAACAAAUAUCAGUGAACACAGAGGUUGGAUCAAAUAUACAUACUGAAACAAGAGAAACUGAGGUUAACCCCUUAUUCUAUUCAACUUGUGUGCAUCUUCUUAAAGCAAAGACUUGCUGUAAGUAAAUGGCUGCUUAUUGGUUGAUCUGUUUUUAACCACGACUGUGCAGUUUCAUUAGCUUUCCAAUAAAAUUGGUCAUAUUUCAAACUAGAAGUGCUAAUAAAUCAUUUUCAGGUAAUACCACGGAUAUUUUUUUACAAUUCCUGAUAAAUCAAAAUAAUUAAAAACCCAGUGUAGUGUGAAACCAUUAAAUACUUGCUUAUCAAGAAAAUUGCAACUUUUGUGGGAGCAAUCUCAUCAAACAGCAGAAUGAGAAAGGUGACUAAAAUUAACACAAGCUUACUGACCAGCAAAUAUGAACUGACCUUUAAAAUGUCCACAGGAAAAUAUCUAUUCCGAGUCAGAAUUUUUCACGUAAACUUUAAAACUGCCACGAUAAAAGCAUUACAUUCUUUGAAUAAUAAUAAUAAACUUCUCUAUUAGGGUACACCUUUGCUGUCACAUAAUGAAGUCCAAUGAGUAACAAAAUGGCUUCAUGUACAGACACAUCUGUCAAUUCUGUCUGUACAUAAAAAUGUUAAUACAUAUAUGUAAUUUUAUAGGUUUGAUAGGCAAAUAUAUUCAAUACAAUUUAUUUACACUAGUAAUGGCACAUGUUCAGAUUCCUGUUAACAUGGAAAAAGAAAAAAAAAAAAAAAAAAAAA